UACGUAGGGUGCGAGCGUUGUCCGGAAUUAUUGGGCGUAAAGAGCUUGUAGGCGGUCUGUCGUGUCUGCUGUGAAAAUCCGGGGCUCAACCCCGGACUUGCAGUGGGUACGGGCAGACUAGAGUGUGGUAGGGGAGACUGGAAUUCCUGGUGUAGCGGUGAAAUGCGCAGAUAUCAGGAGGAACACCGAUGGCGAAGGCAGGUCUCUGGGCCACUACUGAUGCUGAGAAGCGAAAGCAUGGGGAGCGAACAGG
Molecule: ribosomal RNA, 253 nt
Filed under: uncultured bacterium
Lineage: Bacteria
Description: partial 16S ribosomal RNA
Rfam family: Bacterial small subunit ribosomal RNA
Source: RNAcentral